AUGCAGAUAAGAAACCUGGGAAACCACAAGAAAGCCAAGUAGCCUGGGAAAAAAUGGGCAUUGAGCCACGAGCAAAAAAUAACAGUUGAUCCUGUUGGUGCCACCUGACAGCAGAGACGGCCAAGGACCCCUGAGC
Molecule: long non-coding RNA, 136 nt
Filed under: Pongo abelii (Sumatran orangutan)
Lineage: Eukaryota; Metazoa; Chordata; Mammalia; Primates; Hominidae
Description: lincRNA
Source: RNAcentral